This 715-nucleotide ribosomal RNA is filed under the name uncultured Pseudomonadota bacterium. RNAcentral describes it as "bacterial SSU rRNA". It matches the Rfam family "Bacterial small subunit ribosomal RNA", at positions 41 to 760 of the family's 1533-position model. Lineage: Bacteria; Pseudomonadati; Pseudomonadota. The record is from RNAcentral.
GGCAUGCCUAACACAUGCAAUUCGCGCGGGCGGUAGCAAUACCGUUAGCGGCGGACGGGUGAGGAACACAUAGGAAUUUGCCUUUAGGUGGGGGAUAGCCCAGGGAAACUUGGAGUAAUACCGCAUGAUGUCGCAAGACCAAAGCAGGGGAUCGCAAGACCUUGCGCCUUUAGAGGAGCCUAUGUCUGAUUAGCUAGUUGGUAGGGUAAUGGCCUACCAAGGCGACGAUCAGUAACUGGUCUGAGAGGACGAUCAGUCACACUGGAACUGAGACACGGUCCAGACUCCUACGGGAGGCAGCAGUGGGGAAUAUUGGACAAUGGGCGCAAGCCUGAUCCAGCAAUGCCGCGUGUGUGAAGAAGGCCUUCGGGUUGUAAAGCACUUUAGGCCGGGAAGAAAAAAUCAGGGCUAAUAUCCUUGAUCUUGACGGUACCGGAAGAAUAAGCACCGGCUAACUCUGUGCCAGCAGCCGCGGUAAUACAGAGGGUGCGAGCGUUAAUCGGAUUUACUGGGCGUAAAGCGUGCGUAGGUGGUUGUUCAAGUCGGUUGUGAAAUCCCUGGGCUUAACCUGGGAACUGCUUCCGAGACUGAGCGACUAGAGUACGGUAGAGGGCGGUGGAAUUUCCGGUGUAGCGGUGAAAUGCGUAGAUAUCGGAAGGAACACCAAUGGCGAAGGCAGCCGCCUGGGCCUGUACUGACACUGAGACACGAAAGC